Molecule: unclassified non-coding RNA, 190 nt
Filed under: uncultured fungus
Lineage: Eukaryota; Fungi
Description: sequence contains ITS1
Source: RNAcentral
GUUUCUAUUUUACAUAGAUAUCAGACAAAUAGGAUAUGGUUCUUACAGUGGGCAAGCUCAGAGAGACAUGCCCAAAAUACAAUAAUAGUGCACAAAAGGUUGAUUGUCAAGGCGAACUCAACCUAGAAACUAGGGAGUUCAGCCAAGACAUGUAUCAGUAAUGAUCCAACCGCAGGUUCACCUACGGUUA